Molecule: long non-coding RNA, 1258 nt
Filed under: Anser brachyrhynchus (Pink-footed goose)
Lineage: Eukaryota; Metazoa; Chordata; Aves; Anseriformes; Anatidae
Description: lncRNA (ENSABRG00000013166.1)
Source: RNAcentral
GACUUCAGGAGAUCACAUCGGCAGAGCUUGACUUGGGUGAGCAGCACGCAGCGGCGCUGCCGGGCAGUCCUGCCAGCAGGUUUCUGCGCAGGGCUGAGCUCUGAGGUCCCGCAGGACACGCUGUCGCUUCCCCUCGCCAACCCGCUCCUGAGGCUGCCUGGGGUGUGCCAGGCCAGCACGCCUCGCUGUCUGCCAGAGGAUUUCUGCACCAGGCUGUGCCAUGCAUCGUGCUGGACCGCCGGCGUCACGUCCCAGGCUGGUGCAGCACACAGGGCCAGAGCUUCUCAUCGCAAGCUUGACGGUUCAGGUUUCCCUUUUGACAUCCAUCCGAAAUGGGCGAGUGCACGAUGUGAACCGCUGCUCUGAGCCAGUACAUCACCUCUUACACUUCCAGUGUUUCGCAGGGAUGCAUUUAUAUUGCAACACAGUUACUUGAGUAGGAAGGGGAGGGAGAGAAACAAACACAUCCCUGCUAAUUCCAGUGCGUUCCCAUAAUAUUUCCAACUAUAAAACCUCCUUAUUCCUUACUGGCAGCACACUGAGCAGAAUAAGCCGCAGGAACUCAGCAGACCCAGCUCCGUGCUGCAGCAUAUCUCCCAGCAAAGGACAGGCUUGUAUGUCUGCAAGGGAGGGCUGGAGGGUUUCCGUGGAAAAAAACUCCGUUUGUAGCCUUGCCAGCUGCACCAAAGAGCUCCUGGGGGUCACUGCAGCUGGGGCAAGGAGCCAAACAAGGGCAGGCCCUAGCCGGGCUGAGGCUGCCUGUGCUCUGCUCUUGGACAACAGCAGGGCAUAAACCUGUGGAGCAGGGCAUAAACGUGUCCCACACAGCCGGAGCUGAUUCAGCUAUGCAGGUUUAUGUGCACGGAGGCUCUGGGUUGCUUCCGUGGACCAGUACAGGGAAGAUCAGGCAUCUCCUUGUACUUACUCUAAGCACCAAAUCCAGUCUCACUUCUCUCUAAAUUGCAUACCAGAUGGGCUGGUUUUUAACCUGCCUCUGCCCUUAAAGAGCAAUUCCAUCCCUUGUCCCCGUGCUCUGGCCACUUCUGGUGCCAGCGAAGUGACUCCAUGCACGGCACUCGCCGGGACUUGGUGGAGGAGGUGGGCACUAGCCAGGGCCGGAGGACCGAGGCCGGCCUGCCAAGGCCCUUUGGCUAGCUUGGCUGGCGACUUGCACAGGCUGCUGCAGGCUCCAGGGUGGCCUCGCACUGCUCGCGCUGCUCGCACUGCUCUCGUGCCCCUGCCCCAGGCCCGGUGUCCG